Molecule: ribosomal RNA, 216 nt
Filed under: uncultured bacterium
Lineage: Bacteria
Description: partial 16S ribosomal RNA
Rfam family: Bacterial small subunit ribosomal RNA
Source: RNAcentral
UGGGAACGUGCCUUUUGGUUCGGAACAACCCAGGGAAACUUGGGCUAAUACCGGAUAAGCCCUUACGGGGAAAGAUUUAUCGCCGAAAGAUCGGCCCGCGUCUGAUUAGCUAGUUGGUGGGGUAAUGGCUCACCAAGGCAACGACGGGUAGCUGGUCUGAGAGGAUGGCCAGCCACAUUGGGACUGAGACACGGCCAAGACUCCUACGGGAGGCAG